RNAcentral lists this ribosomal RNA (253 nucleotides) under uncultured bacterium. RNAcentral describes it as "partial 16S ribosomal RNA". It matches the Rfam family "Bacterial small subunit ribosomal RNA", at positions 524 to 776 of the family's 1533-position model. The record is from RNAcentral.
UACGUAGGGGGCAAGCGUUGUCCGGAUUUAUUGGGCGUAAAGAGCGUGUAGGCGGUUCGGUAGGUCCGUUGUGAAAACUCGAGGCUCAACCUCGAGACGCCGAUGGAAACCCCCGAACUAGAGUCCGGAAGAGGAGAAUGGAAUUCCUGGUGUAGCGGUGAAAUGCGUUGAUAUCAGGAGGAACACCCAUGGCGAAGGCAGCUAACUGGGCAUUAUCUGACGCUGAGGCGCGAAAGCGUGGGUAGCAAACAGG